UACGUAGGGUGCAGGCGUUUAAUCGGAAUUACUGGGCGUAAAGCGUGCGCAGGCGGUUUCUUAAGUCAGAUGUGAAAGCCCCGGGCUUAACCUGGAACUGCGUUUGAAACUGGGAGACUUGAGUGUGGCAGAGGGGGUGGAAUUCCGACGUGUAGCAGUGAAAUGCGUAGAUAUGUGGAGGAACACCGAUGGCGAAGGCAGCCCCCUGGGUUAACACUGACGCUCAUGCACGAAAGCGUGGGGAGCAAACAGG
Molecule: ribosomal RNA, 253 nt
Filed under: uncultured bacterium
Lineage: Bacteria
Description: partial 16S ribosomal RNA
Rfam family: Bacterial small subunit ribosomal RNA
Source: RNAcentral